GAUGAACGCUGGCGGCGUGCCUAAUACAUGCAAGUCGAGCGAACAGAUGAGGAGCUUGCUCCUCUGACGUUAGCGGCGGACGGGUGAGUAACACGUGGAUAACCUACCUAUAAGACUGGGAUAACUUCGGGAAACCGGAGCUAAUACCGGAUAAUAUAUUGAACCGCAUGGUUCAAUAGUGAAAGACGGUUUUGCUGUCACUUAUAGAUGGAUCCGCGCCGCAUUAGCUAGUUGGUAAGGUAACGGCUUACCAAGGCAACGAUGCGUAGCCGACCUGAGAGGGUGAUCGGCCACACUGGAACUGAAACACGGUCCAGACUCCUACGGGAGGCAGCAGUAGGGAAUCUUCCGCAAUGGGCGAAAGCCUGACGGAGCAACGCCGCGUGAGUGAUGAAGGUCUUCGGAUCGUAAAACUCUGUUAUUAGGGAAGAACAAAUGUGUAAGUAACUAUGCACGUCCUGACGGUACCUAAUCAGAAAGCCACGGCUAACUACGUG
Molecule: ribosomal RNA, 497 nt
Filed under: uncultured bacterium
Lineage: Bacteria
Description: partial 16S ribosomal RNA
Rfam family: Bacterial small subunit ribosomal RNA
Source: RNAcentral